This 3267-nucleotide long non-coding RNA is filed under the name Gopherus agassizii (Agassiz's desert tortoise). RNAcentral's name for it is "lncRNA (ENSGAGG00000007389.1)". Lineage: Eukaryota; Metazoa; Chordata; Testudines; Testudinidae. The record is from RNAcentral.
CUAAACACCUGUUUAUAGUAACCAUUGUGAGCAUCAGGCUGGAAAAUAUCCCCACAGUGCGACACUCAGUCAGUAGCAGCCGAUGCUGGAGCUCCAGGCAGGCUGGCUGCCAUGGAGACCAGCUGGGACAGCAGCCUCCACAGCUGGGCCGGGCCAGCCCCAGCUGUGAUCCAAGCCACCAUGUACUCCAAGGCAGUGCGGCAGGCUGAGGAAACCAGGGAAGAGCUGGAAAAGAUCCGGGCACGGAUUGACCAUGUGAUCCAGGCCUAUGAGCACAGUGAGCAGGUCUCGUCUGCCCCGCAAGCAGCCACAGAGAUUGUGGAAGAUGUGGAGCAGCUGGUAGCAGUCCUGGAGGACCCCGUGAAGAAGAGGAGAUACCAGCAGCAAGUGACUGUCUUCAUCGUGGGAUACCAGGAGUCCUGUGGGCAGCGCAGCAGCCUCCUGAGCCAGCUUCAGGAGUUCUUCAGCUGCUCUGCAGAGCUGGGGCUGGGGGACGAGAGCCACAGCCUGCCCGACGACUUCCCAAUGCACAUGGGUGACGUGGCUGGCACGGUGACAGCGGCUCUGAGCUCGGCAGAGGCAGCUAUGUCCCGCCUGGUGGAUCUGAACAAGGACAUUGUCAGCUAUGUGACCAGCGCCCUGGCCACACCCAGCCCCAAAAGGAGCCACAGGAAGCAAGUGGAGAAGGCUGUAGACAAGGCUAAGGAAGAGGUGGUCCAGAUCAAACGCAGGCUCCUGCAGGCUCAGGCAGACCUGGAGAUCAAGGAACGACAGCUGAAGGACCUGCAGCAGCUGAGUGAGAUGAGGGCGAAGGAGAGCCAGCUCUUCCGAGCCCAGCUGGAGAGCACCCAGAGACACCUGCAAGGCCAGGAGCAGGAGAGUGGGGCUCAGCGGGCCCACCUGGAAGCCGAGCUGAGGAGCCGGGACUCGUGCAUCGCGGAGCUGGAUGGGUUCCUGCAGGAGAAGGCGUGGUUGCGGAGGGAUGCGGCCACCCAGUGCAGUGACUGUGCCCUGUCCAACCCUGCUGCAUGCCCAGGGGGGCUGCUCCUCUCCGGCGCGGGGGCUGCUGAGGAGGGGCCACCAGCAGGAAGGGAGCUCGGGGAAGGACUGGCAGAGUCCAUGGUGCGACCUGAAGAGGGGUUCCAGAACCCAGAGGACACCCCGGGGCUGGGGGCCCUGGCUGGGCCAGCCAGAGGGCGCAGGGAAGCUGGAAAGGAAGAGGAAGAUGCUGAAGGGGAGCCAGCCACACACCCUGCAGGGGGUGAGAGGAGCCCCAGCUGGGGCACUGCAGUAGGGAAUGGAGCAGUGCAAACGCCAGAGGCCUCGGCUACCUGUGAGCUCCUGGCCCGGCGCCUGGCUGCCCUGGAGGCAGAGUUAGCUGCAGCCCAACUGCAAAGCCGUGAGGAUGCCGAGCACUGGGAGAUGCGCUGCAGGACCAUGGCAGCCAAGUGGGAGGAGGAGAGGCAGAGAUUAUGGCAGCACACAUGGCACCCAGUGGAGGAGGCGCAGCACCUGGAGACGAUGCGCUCAGCAGAGAUGGCGCAGCACCUGGAGACAUCCCAGACAGGGCAUCCCAUGAAGCAGGUGGCCGUGAUGCAGCCAGCGCGGGGAGGGGAGACAGCUCAGCAGGUGGAGACAGUGCUGCAGAACCUGCCAGUGCAGCCAAUGCAGCAGGGGGUGCUGGUGCAACUGGUGCAGCCAGUGGAGCUGGUGCAGCAGACACAGCCGGUGCCACAGGAGCAGCUGGUUGAGGGAGUGGAGACAGCCCCAAAGAGGUUGGCAGCUGGAUCGCAGUUUACGUUGCAGGCCAGAGGUUUCCCUGAGCUGACUCUGCCCCUCACCCCUGCUGGAAUAGCUGCUCCUUCCCCAGGGCCCACCAGGCAUGGGGGUGCUCCCAGAGCAGGUGCUUCCCCAGAUGCCCUGUCCCAGUCCCAGGGCGGGGCAACCCCAGCGCCUGCAGAGGGACGCCGUGGAGCUGACAGCCGCGUGGUGGCCUUCAUAGAGUCCUUGCGGGCAGGGCUUAUGGCUAAAGAGCUCCACGUGCUGGCUCGGCUCCUGGACAGCCCGUGUGGCGGGCUGAUGACAGCGACCCCUGAGGACGCAGCAGGAGCUGAAAUACACAUGCUGCUUGGGAACGCUACCCUAGUUUUUUACAGCUUGCUUGAAGGUAUAAGCGAUAAUGACAAGAUGCUGCACCAGCCCCAGGACAUGAUGUCAGAUCAAGGGGGAGCUGCGGCACCAGCACUGGGAAAAGGCAUUGCCGUGGGUGGAGCAGGCCCGUUGGCUCUGGACCAGCACCCUGUAGGAGGCCACAGCUCCCAUGCUGUCCCGCUAACCCAAGGCCAGCUGAUGAGUGCAGGAGGGGGGCUGAGUCCCAGGUCCGAGCCUGGCAGCGCCGGGGCCAAGAGGAGAGCCCCCAGGGUCCUGUUUACUCAGCAGGAUGAGCAGCACAACAGGCAGGUGCUGGACCAAGGCGUAUGCAGAGGCCAGGUGCCAUGGGGCCUGUACCAGGACGCCAGCCUGUUGAUGGGGGGCUUCCGAUGGCUUCGCCGCCAGAGGUUCGAGGGCCUGGUGAGGGGUUACCUGGCCCAUGUCCGCAUGAAGGAGGCAGAAGAAACCUUGGAGCAACUUCAGGACAGUUGUGGCUGUGUGAAGGCGCAGAGUGCCCUGGGGCGACUCCAAGCACUGAGGCAGCAGAGGCUCCAGCGCUGGCGGGUUGAGCGGUGCCACAGCCGGGCAAGGCAGCUGCAGCUGGCAGAGCUGCUCAGCGAGACGCUGACGCGCGUGGAGGAGCAUUCAGGGCUGUUCCUGAUCCAGCCUGUGCUGCCGUGGGCUGGCCGGCCAACCGCACUAAUCCCUCCUGGAAGGAGUGACACGCAGCCCCAACCCGCUCCCAAGAUGCUGAUGCCAGUGCUGAUGGGACAGGAAGUGAGCAGCCCCCUGGCCAUGCAGGGUCUCCGGCUGCACAGCCCAAGGCAGGCAGGACCCCCCAAGCUGUGGAGCUUCCCGGCACUGGGGAGCAGCGGGGCUUGGCCAGAGCGGGACUUGGAACGGCCAAGCCCACUGGUGAUCACCCCACGGCUACUGGAGAUGGACCUCAAUGGCUACCUGCUGCAGGAGCACCAGGUGAGCAGGAGGAGCCAGCCUGGCCCAGGCCCAGGCCCAGCCAGUCCCAGAGCCAGGCCCUUCGCAGCCUCGCUGAGGAGUUUCCUUCCCAUCCAACGCGGCGUGGCCCUGAUAGGCCCCAGUCUCUCGGAGAGGCCAUGA